RNAcentral lists this ribosomal RNA (253 nucleotides) under uncultured bacterium. RNAcentral's name for it is "partial 16S ribosomal RNA". It matches the Rfam family "Bacterial small subunit ribosomal RNA", at positions 524 to 776 of the family's 1533-position model. The record is from RNAcentral.
UACGUAGGGUGCAAGCGUUGUCCGGAAUUAUUGGGCGUAAAGAGCUCGUAGGCGGUUUGUUGCGUCGGCUGUGAAAACCUGGGGCUCAACCUCAGGCCUGCAGUCGAUACGAGCAGACUAGAGUGUUGCAGGGGAGACUGGAAUUCCUGGUGUAGCGGUGAAAUGCGCAGAUAUCAGGAGGAACACCGGUGGCGAAGGCGGGUCUCUGGGCAACAACUGACGCUGAGGAGCGAAAGCGUGGGGAGCGAACAGG